RNAcentral lists this non-coding RNA (103 nucleotides) under Candidatus Poribacteria bacterium WGA-4E. RNAcentral's name for it is "Poribacteria-1 RNA". It matches the Rfam family "Poribacteria-1 RNA". The record is from Rfam by way of RNAcentral. Lineage: Bacteria; Candidatus Poribacteria.
AUCACCGGUGGGGAACCCCAUACGGCAACGGCGUAGAAGUAAAUGCUAACCAAUCCGUGGUAUCUACGCGACGGAGCAUCCACGGAUAACUCUAACAAGGAGA